GACGAACGCUGGCGGCGUGCUUAACACAUGCAAGUCGAACGGAAAGGCCCUUCGGGGUACUCGAGUGGCGAACGGGUGAGUAACACGUGGGUGAGCUGCCCUGCACUUUGGGAUAAGCCUGGGAAACUGGGUCUAAUACCGAAUAUGAUCAUCGGCUUCAUGGUCGGUGGGGGAAAGCGUUUGCGGUGUGGGCUGGGCCCGCGGCCGAUCAGCUUGUUGGUGGGGUAAUGGCCUACCAAGGCGACGACGGGUAGCCGGCCGGAGAGGGUGACCGGCCACACUGGGACUGAGAUACGGCCCAGACUCCUACGGGAGGCAGCAGUGGGGAAUAUUGCACAAUGGGCGCAAGCCUGAUGCAGCGACGCCGCGUGAGGGAUGACGGCCUUCGGGUUGUAAACCUCUUUCAGCACAGACGAAGCGCAAGUGACGGUAUGUGCAGAAGAAGGACCGGCCAACUACGUG
This 462-nucleotide ribosomal RNA is filed under the name uncultured bacterium. RNAcentral describes it as "partial 16S ribosomal RNA". It matches the Rfam family "Bacterial small subunit ribosomal RNA", at positions 28 to 507 of the family's 1533-position model. The record is from RNAcentral.